CUCCACUGCUCUUCACAUCACAUCUCUCCCAGGCUGUCAUGCCUCCAGGACUGAUGGAGAAAAAUGCAAAGGUCAGAGCUGUACAGACAUUGAAGCCAGCCUGAAGAAAAAGCAGAUUUGGAGGUCUGUGAAGCCAAACCUGAUGCUGGGGAUUUAUUUUUGUCAGUGGAGUCAAAUGCCGACAGGUAUUGAAGACACGUUUUCUAAGAGGAUGAAAGUUGGCAUUGCGAUGGUGAAAGAAGAAGACAUCAUCGAUGUGUUGGUUGUCCUUGAGGCGGCAGUAAUCCUGUCUAAUCUGAG
Long non-coding RNA from Oreochromis aureus, 300 nucleotides. NCBI's taxonomy places the organism in Eukaryota, Metazoa, Chordata, Actinopteri, Cichliformes, Cichlidae. The record is from Ensembl.